This 440-nucleotide ribosomal RNA is filed under the name uncultured bacterium. RNAcentral's name for it is "partial 16S ribosomal RNA". It matches the Rfam family "Bacterial small subunit ribosomal RNA", at positions 338 to 795 of the family's 1533-position model. The record is from RNAcentral.
CCUACGGGAGGCAGCAGUAGGGAAUAUUGCUCAAUGGGGGUAACCCUGAAGCAGCAACGCCGCGUGGAGGAUGAAGGUUCUCGGAUUGUAAACCCCUUUUGUUAGAGAAGAUAAUGACGGUAUCUAACGAAUAAGCACCGGCUAACUCCGUGCCAGCAGCCGCGGUAAUACGGAGGGUGCAAGCGUUAUCCGGAAUCACUGGGCGUAAAGGGCGCGUAGGCGGGUUAGCAAGUCAGAUGUGAAAGCCUAUGGCUUAACCAUAGAACUGCAUUUGAAACUGUUAUUCUAGAGUAUGGGAGAGGUAGGUGGAAUUCUUGGUGUAGGGGUAAAAUGCGUAGAGAUCAAGAGGAAUACUCAUUGCGAAGGCGGCCUGCUAGAACAUAACUGACGCUGAUGCACGAAAGCGUGGGGAGCAAACAGGAUUAGAUACCCGUGUAGUC